This 466-nucleotide ribosomal RNA is filed under the name uncultured bacterium. Its description in RNAcentral is "bacterial SSU rRNA". It matches the Rfam family "Bacterial small subunit ribosomal RNA", at positions 35 to 507 of the family's 1533-position model. The record is from RNAcentral.
GACGAACGGCUGGCGGCGUGCCUAACACAUGCAAGUCGAACGGAAGUUAGAGCUUCGGUUUUAAGCUUAGUGGCGAACGGGUGAGUAACGCGUGAGUAACCUGCCCUAGAGUGGGGGACAACAGUUGGAAACGACUGCUAAUACCGCAUAAGCCCACGGUACCGCAUGGUACUGAGGGAGAAGGAUUUAUUCGCUUUAGGAUGGACUCGCGUCCAAUUAGCUAGUUGGUGAGGUAACGGCCCACCAAGGCGACGAUUGGUAGCCGGACUGAGAGGUUGAACGGCCACAUUGGGACUGAGACACGGGCCCAGACUCCUACGGGGAGGCAGCAGUGGGGGAUAUUGCACAAUGGGGGAAACCCUGAUGCAGCGACGCCGCGUGGAGGAAGAAGGUUUCGGAUUGUAAACUCCUGUCGUUAGGGACGAUAAUGACGGUACCUAACAAGAAAGCACCGGCUAACUACGUG